GUGAAGAACGUAGCGAAAUGCGAUAAGUAAUGUGAAUUGCAGAAUUCAGUGAAUCAUCGAAUCUUUGAACGCACAUUGCGCCCGCCAGCACUCUGGCGGGCAUGCCUGUUCGAGCGUCAUUUCAACCAUCAAGCCCCCAGGGGCUUGUGCUGGGGCCCUGCGGCUGCCCGCAGGCCCUGAAAACCAGUGGCGGGCUCGCUAGUCACACCGAGCGCAGUAGCACAUCUCGCUCAGGGCGUGCGGCGGGCUCCUGCCGUGAAACCCCCCACUGUAACCCCAAAGGUUGACCUCGGAUCAGGUAGGAAUACCCGCUGAACUUAAGCAUAUCAAUAAGCGGAGGA
RNAcentral lists this unclassified non-coding RNA (341 nucleotides) under soil metagenome. RNAcentral describes it as "partial contains 5.8S ribosomal RNA, internal transcribed spacer 2, and large subunit ribosomal RNA". The stretch from base 2 to 119 matches the Rfam family "5.8S ribosomal RNA", at positions 37 to 154 of the family's 154-position model. The record is from RNAcentral.